Molecule: long non-coding RNA, 543 nt
Organism: Fukomys damarensis (Damara mole-rat)
Lineage: Eukaryota; Metazoa; Chordata; Mammalia; Rodentia; Bathyergidae
Exons: 6
Source: RefSeq, a predicted model, not a curated record
CUUUCAGGAAAGGGAGCUACUUAGCAACACUCCACUCCCAGGGAUUCUGAAUGUGAAGAAUCUUGGGAUGGCACUUGAUCAGAUGUUCCAGUAACAAAAUCAUAAAAAUGUGGUCCUUUUGGCUGAGGCUUGGAGUCAAAGACAAGAGGGGAAACUGAGGAUCAGAUUAAUGUCUGGCUGAGUCAGGAAUGCUGCACCCAUCUCUUCGGAAGCGUUCCAGAAACCUCCCCGGAGUCUGUGUGGUGACUCCGCACCUUGCCCUCACAGUCUGGGCCCCUGAACUUUGUUCUGCGAGCAGGUGCACAGUCGAAAAUAACAACCAGUAAGGCGGGGUGAGGCUAGAGCCUAUCAUUAGCAGUUGGCUUGUGUCAAGUGCUUUUCCUGUCAAAACACUCAAAGCCUUCCCCCACGCUCUUUCUGCCUUGGAACCAGCAGAGAAGGAAUUGUGACUGUAAGCAGAAACAAACCUCUCUUCCUUUAAAUUAAAGAGAUGCAUCCAGUCUCCUGAUCUUCCAGUUUGAACCGCAAUCAGUGUCCCGCCAG